Molecule: non-coding RNA, 68 nt
Organism: Caenorhabditis elegans
Lineage: Eukaryota; Metazoa; Nematoda; Chromadorea; Rhabditida; Rhabditidae
Source: Ensembl
UUCUCAACCCCAUCCAUCUCAAAAUGUAUGCUUAUUGGCGACUUCCUGCAUACAUAUAUCAAAAAAUG